GAAAGAGCACACCUCUGGGACAAUGCGUAUGGCGUCUCCAAGCCUGUUACUGGGACCCGUAGGAUUCAUUCGCACUGUCACCGCUGUUUCUUUGCUUAUCAGACCUCAACCUUUCAGGCAGUUAAAUCCUUGAAACAAACCAGGAAGAGGAAUAGAAUCACGAGCUGAAAAUGGAGUUUUGAAAUAGGCAGUGCUGGUUGAAGGAUUGGAGCAAGGUUGGACGAACAGUUAAGAUAAUGGCUGGACGAUCCAGCUGAAUAAUCCUUUAGAUAACGAUUGCUGUCUUGGAACAUUUUAUGAGCCAGUAUUGUGCCCGAGAAAUGCAUAAUUCUUCUGAGAAGGCAUAAAAGUAGCAUUAUGAAACAGCCCCCGUAGCCCUUCUGCCCUACGCAACACUGAUGAACCUCACCUGAAGUCCUAGGUCAAGACUGGGACAUCCCACUUGAAAAGACAUGGGAACCCAUUUAAGAAAAUUCACGCACAAGCACCAAUUAUAAUCAAAAUUCCAGAAAAUGUACUCAAGGGCAAACAGGAAAUACAAUUAAGUCUGGACUGUAGACAAGUGAGGGGAUGGCACAGGGUAUUAAAAUGCUGACAGAAAGAGGAAGAUAAUAAACUCUUCUCCACAUUUAACGUGAAAAUGAAACAAACAAAAAAAAGAGCAACACCAACCAAUGGGCAUAAAUUGAAGCAGACACUUGGCUUAUGUACUAAAACGAAGUCUUCUACUGGAAGCUGAGAACAGACUAGAGGAACAGCCAGGAAUGGUUUAUCUAAAGCUAAAUAAGGAGCAGUUAGCUUCCUGUAGCGCUUUCUCAGUCACUUUUUCUUUGCUUAUGACUCAAUAAGAGGAACAUUUCAAAUGAGGUUACUCAUUUGGGCUUGGAACAUAAGGUAUACAAAGAGUUGCUUCCUUGAGCAGAAGAGGACUAACACAGAAAGAAGAAAAUAGGACAACAGCACAAAGGUGGAGAAACGGGAGUUUCUAUUUGCAUUACAAAGAAGAUCCUCUCUGUCAUGAAAAUGAAUCAAUGCCUUGAACCAGUAAAUUAUCUACUAAGCUACUUAUUCAUAUUAUUUGAUACAUUUAUUACCCCCAAAGCAUUUACAGUAACUACUCUGGAAUAGUGAAAGCACACUCAUACGCAGACACCACUGCCAUCCAUUCUGGACCCUAUAUGAGUCAACAGUGGCAACGGCGAGUAACGUGCCCUUCCUCCCCAGAAAAAGCAGGCCAGAAACCAAAGUCGUUUUCUUCUUCUACGAUUCCUGAGCCAAGGUAGAAGACAGAAGCAGCUCUUUGCUUUGUGUGUUUCACAGCCACAGAUUUCAAAAUGACAAUUGAUUUUCUAGAAAGAGGAGUCAUAAAACUUUUGAAGUUCAGAUAGAUUAAAUCUGCUGCAUUUCUUUGAAAAAUCAGUUGGCAUACUUACAGCCAUUUGGUUAUUCAGACAAUUUAUCUUUGGUUCAUUUUGUACCCUUUUUUCUUUGUUUCUUUAACUACAUAUCCUUGGACCACAGCAAUUAUAACAACCCUCUAACUGCUCUCAUUAUCUCUUCCUUUAAGAUCUACUUUAAAUUCUUGCAUUUUGUUGAGGUCAGACAAAUGACAGCAUAGCUGUCCAGAUCACUAUUUUACAGUGCCACACAAAGGUGGACGUGAUACGGAUUAGAAAUCAAAGAGAAAAUAAACAAGAUGAAAUGCACUGAGGAGAGCUCAAAAGGGAAUAUCAGGCUACAAUUGAAAACCUUAAGUUUUGUAUUUGCAAGACCAUAAAUUUUCAUUUGUGGUCCUGAAACAAAAAGUAGGAAUGUUCUAAGAGGAUUUGCAGACAAUGAGCAGGUAAGAGGUAUUGCCAGUCUUCGAGAGAAUUAAUAUAUCAUGCUGUAAAACUCUGAAAUAGAAAAGGAAUGAAGUUCAAAUAUACACUGUGCAAGAUCAACUUCUGGGCAAAACGCCCAAACUUUUUACAAGUUGGGAACUCAAUCUGAAAUGCCUAAGGAUGAGAAUGACUUAGAAAAUCAAAAAUUACCAAGAAACACAGAGGUAGCUGUAAAAACAGAAAAGGUAGUAUCCCUUCAGAAUUGCACGUCCUUCGUUACUUUUACAGCACUGGUAGCAAUCUACAGUAAAGAAGACACCUUCCAGUGGCACUGGAAACAUUAGUAUGACUGGAGCACUGACAAAAUUUCACCUAGAAUAUAGCUUUACAAAUAGAUAAACUGAAUUGAAACAAGUAUAAAUGCCUGCUUAGAUGGAGAGAGGAAUUGAAAGUUUGUUUUGAAGCAGAACCUAAAAAAGACUGACUUGAUUAGUCAAUUAAAAAAAAAGAAAAAAAAAAAAAAGAAGAGGAGGCUGAGAGUUACCAUCAUUACUUGCCUAAAUAUAUUUCUAUCAGUACAAAUGCAGAUAGGUACAAUUGUGAAUAAAAUGCAACAAGAAAUAAGAAGUUUUAAUGUUUGAUAUAGUCAGAUGACGACACAGCCUUCCAGCAGAGAGUGGUAUGGGAGUCCCUGAGAACAGAUUGCUUUUAAAAAGAAGAAAAAUGGAAAUCUAAUUAAAAGGUAUAGCAAUCAGCAGGACAGAAGUAAACGCGGGGCAGAUUUAGCAUGACAAUCUUCUAUCUACAAGAGAAAUUGGUAGCUGUGGUAGGAUGACCAUAUCACCCACGCUGGAAGCAAAAUACACGGUACAGAAAGGAAGCCAGCAGCACAGGCAAGAGAAGAUAAAAUUAGUCCAAAUAUGUUACAUCUAUCUAGUGGCUUUUCAGGUUUACAUGAAGAAAGAAUGCGUUGGUAACUCCUUGCAACUUAAGCAUGCUUCCCCUGUGUAAAAAUAAUCAAAGUUAGGCCAUUCAGAUAUUAGUUUCACCGAAAUAACUGUCAAGACAUUGCAACUUGAAGACACAAGACCUACCUACAGCACUACAAUGAAAUAAAUUUUAAUUUGCACUUAAAUAUAAAGAGUUUGACUGCUAAAACUAAUUCAUUGUGCUUCCUCCUUUGCCUCCAUAAAAACUUAACACACUAUAGAGGAAAGGUAGUGAGAUAAUGAAACUGCGUAACAACUCAAUAAGACUGUUUCAAAACAGCUGGCAAUCAAACAUGUAAGACAGUGUUCUCCUGUUCACAACCUCUAAAAGAGAUGAACGCUGCUAUGUUCAUCAAAGCUGCUGAGGAAAAAGAGGGAUGCGGAAAACAAUGAAAAAAACCAUGGAAAUACAUUGCAAACAUUUCUGAGCAAACUACACACGAAGGAAUGUUUCUCCAGAUGACAUGCACUUGCUAAUGCAAGCCAUUAAGAGACUGAGAGGAGAGCAGUUUUGAGUGACCCUAAACAAAAGCAUUCACUAGGCAGCACGCCGAUAGAUGCAAGUAUAAACUGUAUGUCAGAAACUCCCCGUGUAUCUCAAAAUAUAAGCUAGCAUAAUGCUUGCAUGAUCUGCUAUCAGCUCCAUCCCGUAGCUUUUCCAGCAUUUUAUGUAGUAGAAAAUUACAAUGCUGAUAACUGUAUUUUUAUGGCACUACAUACCACUUUCGUUCUUAGCAAAGAGUCAACCUGUAAUAACAAACUGCAUUUGAUUUUAUUUUCAGAAUCCUGCUUGUCCAACACAAUUUACAAGCUUCCCUGUUCUUGGGGAUCCUCUGCCCCAUAUAGUAAUGCAGAUACAUGAUCGAGUCUGGUAAAGUGAUAGAUUGCACUGACAUAGAAAAAUAAUAUUUCUUCAAAAGCUUAGACAUUGAAAUUUCUAACUCAAGUACCAUAAAUUGAUAUUAUGGAAAAAAAUAGCAUUUAAGGAAAAAUGUUUGCCAGUUCAAAUUACUGUUUAUUAUGGCUCAUGCCUAAAUCUGAAUUUGGGAAAAUUAAAUACGUUGAGCACAUUUAAAUGCUGUUCUCUGUAGGGUGAACGGUGCUGUUUACAGUAAGAAUCCAAAACUAAAUGACUUGGUACAAAUCAGAUCGACACAGUAGCAUUAGUGGAGGAACAUCAAUUUAAACAAGCAAAGAAAUGAGACGUUUACACAAACUUUUUCAAGGAUAUUUCCAAAGUGAAGGUUUGUGAAACAGAUAGUGGUCAUACAUACUAUGCAUGUUUUUGUAAGAUUAGUUUUGACCUUGUUUUGUUGAGAGAGCAAAUGUAAAACCAUUAACAUCUUUAGCUACUGUUUUCAUGGUGGAGGUCAAUUAUUUUUGUAAAACGGGAUUUCAUGUUACAUGUAUUUAAAGGUGUCAUGCAAGAAUGCAUUUACCUAGAGAAACAUUCUUACUGGAAUUCUAGUAAAUUCAAAUAAUUGAGCCUUAGGGUAAUAUUAACUUUAAUAAAUAUGAACAUAUUGACUGAACACA
Molecule: long non-coding RNA, 4348 nt
Organism: Oxyura jamaicensis (ruddy duck)
Lineage: Eukaryota; Metazoa; Chordata; Aves; Anseriformes; Anatidae
Exons: 3
Source: RefSeq, a predicted model, not a curated record